UGCAUGCAUGAGCCGCGUUCUGCAGCGGGA
RNAcentral lists this small RNA (30 nucleotides) under Bombyx mori (domestic silkworm). RNAcentral describes it as "ovarian small RNA-33575". The record is from RNAcentral. Lineage: Eukaryota; Metazoa; Arthropoda; Insecta; Lepidoptera; Bombycidae.